RNAcentral lists this unclassified non-coding RNA (328 nucleotides) under soil metagenome. RNAcentral describes it as "partial contains 5.8S ribosomal RNA, internal transcribed spacer 2, and large subunit ribosomal RNA". The stretch from base 1 to 120 matches the Rfam family "5.8S ribosomal RNA", at positions 35 to 154 of the family's 154-position model. The record is from RNAcentral.
GAUGAAGAACGCAGCGAAAUGCGAUAAGUAAUGCGAAUUGCAGAAUUCAGUGAGUCAUCGAAUCUUUGAACGCACAUUGCGCCCCCUGGUAUUCCGGGGGGCAUGCCUGUCCGAGCGUCAUUACAACCCUCAAGCUCAGCUUGGUGUUGGGCCCCGCCGCCCCGGCGGGCCCUAAAGUCAGUGGCGGUGCCGUCCGGCUCCGAGCGUAGUAAUUCUUCUCGCUCUGGAGGUCCGUCGUGUGCUCGCCAGCAACCCCCAAUUUUUUUCAGGUUGACCUCGGAUCAGGUAGGGAUACCCGCUGAACUUAAGCAUAUCAAUAAGCGGAGGA